Pistacia vera is the source of this 108-nucleotide small nucleolar RNA. Lineage: Eukaryota; Viridiplantae; Streptophyta; Magnoliopsida; Sapindales; Anacardiaceae. The record is from RefSeq and is a predicted model, not a curated record.
AUAUCUAUGAUGUGGACAUUGAACUAAAAAUAAUUUAAAACGUUCCCAAGAUUCAUGGAAUGGCUCACCUUCCAUUUGUGAGAAAGUAGAAAUCGUACGUCUAAAUUC